AAUUAGGAGAGUUUGAUCCUGGCUCAGAACGAACGCUGGCGGCACGCCUAACACAUGCAAGUCGAACGGCAGCGGGUCCUUCGGGAUGCCGGCGAGUGGCGAACGGGUGAGUAAUACGUGGAAACCUAUCCCUGGGUGGGGGACAACAGCUGGCCUACUCCGCGUUCGCUCGCCGCUACUAACGGAAUCUAUUAAUCUAACAAAGAACCCGUAAGC
This 216-nucleotide ribosomal RNA is filed under the name Magnetococcales bacterium. Its description in RNAcentral is "partial 16S ribosomal RNA". It matches the Rfam family "Bacterial small subunit ribosomal RNA", at positions 1 to 178 of the family's 1533-position model. The record is from RNAcentral. Lineage: Bacteria; Pseudomonadati; Pseudomonadota; Magnetococcia; Magnetococcales.